Haplochromis burtoni (Burton's mouthbrooder) is the source of this 555-nucleotide RNA transcript. RefSeq lists it as uncharacterized. The transcript has 4 exons. Lineage: Eukaryota; Metazoa; Chordata; Actinopteri; Cichliformes; Cichlidae. The record is from RefSeq and is a predicted model, not a curated record.
AUGACUGAUUUUAUAACUAAAAAACAAACAAAACAUAGGAGUGGACCACAUACAUUUGCAUUAUUAAAGUCAGAUUAAAGUACAUUUGUGUUUGUAAUUUAAACAGAAUUCCACACAGUGGUAAUGUGGUGAAAGUGUAUAUUACCAAAGAUAACUGUACUCAAAGUUGAGGGUAUUUUAUUUUAUUUUUCUCCCUGCAGUGAGAUCUUCCCUUAUCUGGUGGUGGUAAUCGGGCUGGAGAACGUCUUGGUGCUCACCAAGUCUGUGGUUUCCACCCCUGUCGACCUCGAGGUCAAACUGCGCAUAGCUCAAGGCCUUAGUAAUGAGAGCUGGUCUAUCAUGAAGAAUAUGGCCACUGAGCUGUGUAUUAUCCUCAUUGGAUAUUUCACUCUUGUGCCAGCUAUCCAGGAAUUCUGUUUAUUUGCUGUUGUGGGGCUGGUGUCUGACUUCUUCCUGCAGAUGUUUUUCUUCACCACUGUACUAUCUAUAGACAUUCGCCGCAUGGAGCUGGCUGACCUGAACCGCCGCCUGCCAGCUGAAGCAGGUAUGCCUCCA